Non-coding RNA from Kalaharituber pfeilii, 94 nucleotides. The record is from the annotation of a GenBank genome assembly. NCBI's taxonomy places the organism in Eukaryota, Fungi, Ascomycota, Pezizomycetes, Pezizales, Pezizaceae.
GCUCCGUUGGUCUAGUGGUAUGAUUCUCGCUUAGGGUUUACCCUGAGUUCCUCCGACUUGCGAGAGGUCCCGUGUUCGAACCACGGAUGGAGCC